AUUGAACGCUGGCGGCAUGCCUUACACAUGCAAGUCGAACGGCAGCACGGAGCUUGCUCUGGUGGCGAGUGGCGAACGGGUGAGUAAUAUAUCGGAACGUACCCAAGAGUGGGGGAUAACGUAGCGAAAGUUACGCUAAUACCGCAUACGAUCUAAGGAUGAAAGUGGGGGCUCGCAAGACCUCAUGCUCCUGGAGCGGCCGAUAUCUGAUUAGCUAGUUGGUGAGGUAAAGGCUCACCAAGGCAUCGAUCAGUAGCUGGUCUGAGAGGACGACCAGCCACACUGGAACUGAGACACGGUCCAGACUCCUACGGGAGGCAGCAGUGGGGAAUUUUGGACAAUGGGGGCAACCCUGAUCCAGCAAUGCCGCGUGAGUGAAGAAGGCCUUCGGGUUGUAAAGCUCUUUUGUCAGGGAAGAGACGGUGAAGGCUAAUAUCCUUUGCUAAUGACGGUACCUGAAGAAUAAGCACCGGCUAACUACGUGCAGCCGCCGCCGUAA
Molecule: ribosomal RNA, 499 nt
Filed under: uncultured bacterium
Lineage: Bacteria
Description: partial 16S ribosomal RNA
Rfam family: Bacterial small subunit ribosomal RNA
Source: RNAcentral